This 372-nucleotide ribosomal RNA is filed under the name uncultured Pseudoxanthomonas sp. RNAcentral describes it as "bacterial SSU rRNA". It matches the Rfam family "Bacterial small subunit ribosomal RNA", at positions 545 to 916 of the family's 1533-position model. Lineage: Bacteria; Pseudomonadati; Pseudomonadota; Gammaproteobacteria; Lysobacterales; Lysobacteraceae. The record is from RNAcentral.
AGAGCAGCAUUGGGUAUAAAGCGUGCGUAGGUGGUGGUUUAAGUCUGCUGUGAAAGCCCUGGGCUCAACCUGGGAAUUGCAGUGGAUACUGGAUCACUAGAGUGUGGUAGAGGGAUGCGGAAUUUCUGGUGUAGCAGUGAAAUGCGUAGAGAUCAGAAGGAACAUCCGUGGCGAAGGCGGCAUCCUGGGCCAACACUGACACUGAGGCACGAAAGCGUGGGGAGCAAACAGGAUUAGAUACCCUGGUAGUCCACGCCCUAAACGAUGCGAACUGGAUGUUGGGUGCAACUUGGCACCCAGUAUCGAAGCUAACGCGUUAAGUUCGCCGCCUGGGGAGUACGGUCGCAAGACUGAAACUUAAAAAAUUGACGG